AGCCUACGGGACGCAGCAGUGGGGAAUAUUGCACAAUGGGGGAAACCCUGAUGCAGCGACGCCGCGUGAGUGAAGAAGUAUUUCGGUAUGUAAAGCUCUGUCAGCAGGGAAGAAAAUGACGGUACCUGACCAAGAAGCCCUGGCUAACUACGGGCCAGCAGCCGCGGUAAUACGUAGGGGGCAAGCGUUAUCCGGAUUUACUGGGGGUAAAGGGAGCGUAAACGGCAGGGCAAGUCUGGGGGGAAAGGCGGGGGCUCAACCCCCGGACUGCUCUGGAAACUGCCAGGCUGGAGGGCAGGAGAGGG
Molecule: ribosomal RNA, 305 nt
Filed under: uncultured bacterium
Lineage: Bacteria
Description: partial 16S ribosomal RNA
Rfam family: Bacterial small subunit ribosomal RNA
Source: RNAcentral